CCCGCUGAACUUAAGCAUAUCAAUAAGCGGUGGAAAAGAAAAUAACCAUGAUUCCCUUAGUAACGGCGAGUGAAGUGGGAAGUGCUCAAAUUUAAAAUCCCUUUUGGGAAUUGUAAUUUAUAGAAUAAAUGGUUAGUAAGUGGAGAUUAAAGUCUGCUGGAAAGCAUGCGCUAGAAAGGGUGAUAGCCCCGUUCAGUCUCUUAACUUGCUUCUAUGCCAUUAUUUCAACGAGUCAGGUUGCUUGGGAAUGCAGCCUAAAUUUGGUGGUAAACUCCAUCUAAAGCUAAAUAUUGAUCAGUGACCGAUAGCAAACAAGUACCGUGAGGGAAAGAUGAAAAGAACCUUGAAAAGGGGGUUAAAAGUACGUGAAAUUGUUAUUAGGAAAGCACUUAAUCUCAUUGUGGAUUAAAUCAGUCUGUUUCGGCAGAUACUGUUUUAAUUAGUUAUGAUCAGUUAAGGUUGAUAAAGAAAAUUUGUGACAAGGUAUUAGUGUAGUGCUAAACUUACAGGUCACUUAUUAUUUGUCGAUAUUGACUGAGGAAUGCUACUUAAUCUUUUUGGGUUAAUAGUUUAUGGAGUUGGGCUAAACAACAUGUUGAUUAGCUUAAUUAAAGUGAUCUAUUGAUUUUAAAACUUAAGUACAGGAUCAUAAUUAAAUGAUAUUAAAUGACCCGUCUUGAAACACGG
This 687-nucleotide ribosomal RNA is filed under the name uncultured fungus. RNAcentral's name for it is "eukaryotic LSU rRNA". It matches the Rfam family "Eukaryotic large subunit ribosomal RNA", at positions 24 to 664 of the family's 3401-position model. The record is from RNAcentral. Lineage: Eukaryota; Fungi.